This 128-nucleotide transfer RNA is filed under the name Candidatus Woesearchaeota archaeon. RNAcentral's name for it is "tRNA-Phe". The record is from RNAcentral. Lineage: Archaea; Nanobdellati; Candidatus Woesearchaeota.
GCCGAGGUCGGCUAACCAGGUAAGCCGCGAAGCUGAACCCUUCGUAUCCUUCGGGACAUCUGGGUUCAAAGCCGUAGCUUCGACAGCUUUCGGUUCAUACCGAGGUUUUGAAUAUCCCUGCCUCGGCG